UACGAAGGGGGCUAGCGUUGUCCGAAGUUACUGGGCGUAAAGAGCGCGUAGGCGGUUUAGUAAGUUGGGAGUGAAAGCCCGGGGCUUAACCUCGGAAUUGCUUCCAAAACUGCUAAUCUAGAGUUUAGUAGGGGAUGAUGGAAUUCCUAGUGUAGAGGUGAAAUUCUUAGAUAUUAGGAGGAACACCGGAGGCGAAGGCGGUCAUCUGGGCUAUAACUGACGCUGAUGCGCGAAAGCGUGGGGAGCAAACAGG
This 253-nucleotide ribosomal RNA is filed under the name uncultured bacterium. RNAcentral describes it as "partial 16S ribosomal RNA". It matches the Rfam family "Bacterial small subunit ribosomal RNA", at positions 524 to 776 of the family's 1533-position model. The record is from RNAcentral.